UACGGAGGGUGCGAGCGUUGUUCGGAAUCACUGGGCGUAAAGCGCGUGCAGGCGGCUGGUUAAGUCUGGUGUGAAAGCCCGGGGCUCACCCCCGGAAGUGCGCUGGAAACUGGCCAGCUAGAGUAUGGGAGAGGGAAGUGGAAUUCCUGGUGUAGCGGUGAAAUGCGUAGAUAUCAGGAGGAACACCGGCGGCGAAGGCGGCUUCCUGGACCAAUACUGACGCUCAUGCGCGACAGCGUGGGGAGCAAACAGG
Molecule: ribosomal RNA, 253 nt
Filed under: uncultured Desulfosalsimonas sp.
Lineage: Bacteria; Pseudomonadati; Thermodesulfobacteriota; Desulfobacteria; Desulfobacterales; Desulfosalsimonadaceae
Description: partial 16S ribosomal RNA
Rfam family: Bacterial small subunit ribosomal RNA
Source: RNAcentral